UACGGAGGGUGCGAGCGUUGUCCGGAAUCAUUGGGCGUAAAGGGCGCGUAGGUGGCGGCUUAAGCGUGCGGUGAAAGCUCGGGGCUCAACCCCGAGUCGGCCGUGCGAACUGAGUCGCUUGAGCACUGUAGAGGCGGGUGGAAUUCCGGGUGUAGCGGUGGAAUGCGUAGAGAUCCGGAAGAACACCAGUGGCGAAGGCGGCCCGCUGGGCAGUGGCUGAC
RNAcentral lists this ribosomal RNA (221 nucleotides) under uncultured bacterium. Its description in RNAcentral is "partial 16S ribosomal RNA". It matches the Rfam family "Bacterial small subunit ribosomal RNA", at positions 524 to 744 of the family's 1533-position model. The record is from RNAcentral.